Molecule: long non-coding RNA, 1128 nt
Filed under: Rhinopithecus bieti (black snub-nosed monkey)
Lineage: Eukaryota; Metazoa; Chordata; Mammalia; Primates; Cercopithecidae
Description: lncRNA (ENSRBIG00000046177.1)
Source: RNAcentral
AAAAAAGAAAGAAGACGAAAUUUCAAAGGUGCUGAGAAAAGCCCAGGGCUCACAGCUGGUUUCAGCAACUUCAACUUGCGUAAGACCCCAUGUUUGUGAAAACAACCCAAGAAUCUUUGAACAGGAUGUAAUCAACCUCCGAUCUGCUGAGAAAUACUGCAAAAAUGACUUCAGCUGCCAAAAAUAAUAAUGUCGUUUACAAGCAGCUCUUCCUAUGUCUAAGGAAGAACUAGUCACACAUGCGAGUUUUUGCUGGCUUGAGGAGAACAAGCAAGGAAAAAGACAAAUUCCACCUACCCUAGCCUAAAAUACACAGUGAGUCUCAGAACCCCGCGGAAGCUGUGGCUCAUUUCUAAAGGUGCUGGCAAUAUCGAGGAAGACUUGCAUCCACAAAAUUCCAAAUGGCCCUUAUCUUACAUCCAAAUAGCUGCAGAAAGAGAGAGAAGAAGAAAGGAAGUAAAAAUGAAGGAAGGAGGACUGGGACUAUGUUCAGAUGCCCUCCCUAGACCAAUUAAAUCAGAAUUUCAGAGAAAUGGUCAAGGUAUUCACAAUAUUUCUAUGUGCCACCAGGGUUGAGAGCCAUUGCCUUUUGGUCCCUUUUAAUUAGAUUAAUUUUACCUCUAAACCUUAACAUCAAAACUCAAUUAACUUUUUUAAAACGCAACUUUCAGUGCAUGUUUUACUCCUAAAUUUCCUCAGCCAGAGACUGUAGAUAAUAUGCCAUUUUUUUCUUUCAUUAUCUUUCAUGGGAAAGAUAGCUCUAUUGACAAAGCUGUAUUAAUUUAAUCUAGUUCCAAGGCUGGUACUUUCCUGACUUGGCUCAAUUCUCUUAAAAAUCUAAACAUGCUGUAGAGAGUAGGCUUCUCCUGCCUCUGGUGUCUACAGUGAAUAUUUAUGGAGAUAAACUUCCAAAAUUUUCUUUGAUUCUUCUUCUGACUUUCAAUUUUCCCUCAUGUCAACCUAUGUGCUUUUCUAUCUGACCUUUCUCCUUCAGAUUGACUGAAUGACAUUUAAUCACAUCUUUCUCUUUUCUGUGAGGUCUCCACAGAUUGAUGGCUACACAACCAUAGCCCUAAUUUUGUAGGGCUACACAAACACCCUCAUCUGUAUACUGCUCUUAUAGACAAC